GUGUUCGCUUUGGCAGCACAGACAGUAAUUGUGGGAACAAUAGAGAAGAUUAGCAUGGCCCCUGUAGAAGGAUGACACACAAAUUUGUGAAGGGUUCCAUAUUUAG
This is a small nuclear RNA of Lutra lutra (Eurasian river otter), 106 nucleotides long. Lineage: Eukaryota; Metazoa; Chordata; Mammalia; Carnivora; Mustelidae. The record is from RefSeq and is a predicted model, not a curated record.